This 69-nucleotide transfer RNA is filed under the name Ictidomys tridecemlineatus (thirteen-lined ground squirrel). RNAcentral's name for it is "Spermophilus tridecemlineatus (thirteen-lined ground squirrel) tRNA". It matches the Rfam family "tRNA". From Rfam's summary of the family: Transfer RNA (tRNA) molecules are approximately 80 nucleotides in length. Their secondary structure includes four short double-helical elements and three loops (D, anti-codon, and T loops). The record is from Rfam by way of RNAcentral. Lineage: Eukaryota; Metazoa; Chordata; Mammalia; Rodentia; Sciuridae.
GGGAUUGUAGCUCAGUGGUGGAGCGCUUGCCUCACACAUAUGAUGCCCUGGGUUCAAUCCUCAGCACCA